This 87-nucleotide transfer RNA is filed under the name Acidobacteriota bacterium. RNAcentral describes it as "Acidobacteria bacterium tRNA-Leu". It matches the Rfam family "tRNA". From Rfam's summary of the family: Transfer RNA (tRNA) molecules are approximately 80 nucleotides in length. The record is from RNAcentral. Lineage: Bacteria; Pseudomonadati; Acidobacteriota. RNAcentral also lists the same sequence under 2 other names.
GCCGAAGUGGCGGAAUUGGCAGACGCGCAUGGUUGAGGGCCAUGUGGGGGCAACCCCGUGCGAGUUCGAGUCUCGCCUUCGGCACCA